AUUGAACGCUGGCGGCAUGCCUUACACAUGCAAGUCGAACGGUAACAGGUCUUCGGAUGCUGACGAGUGGCGAACGGGUGAGUAAUACAUCGGAACGUGCCUAGUAGUGGGGGAUAACUACUCGAAAGAGUGGCUAAUACCGCAUGAGAUCUACGGAUGAAAGCAGGGGAUCGCAAGACCUUGUGCUACUAGAGCGGCCGAUGGCAGAUUAGGUAGUUGGUGGGAUAAAAGCUUACCAAGCCGACGAUCUGUAGCUGGUCUGAGAGGACGAUCAGCCACACUGGGACUGAGACACGGCCCAGACUCCUACGGGUGGCAGCGGUGGGGAAUUUUGGACGAUGGGCGCAAGCCUGAUCCAGCAAUGCCGCGUGCAGGAUGAAGGCCUUCGGGUUGUAAACUGCUUUUGUACGGAACGAAAAGCCCCGGGUUAAUACCCUGGGGUCAUGACGGUACCGUAAGAAUAAGCACCGGCUAACUACGUGCCAGCCGCCGCGGUAA
Molecule: ribosomal RNA, 498 nt
Filed under: uncultured bacterium
Lineage: Bacteria
Description: partial 16S ribosomal RNA
Rfam family: Bacterial small subunit ribosomal RNA
Source: RNAcentral